AGCGAAACGGGAAGAGCCCAAACCAACAAGCUUGCUUGUUGGGGUUGUAGGACACUCUAUACGGAGUUACAAAGGACGACAUUAGACGAAUCAUCUGGAAAGAUGAAUCAAAGAAGGUAAUAAUCCUGUAGUCGAAAAUGUUGUCUCUCUUGAGUGGAUCCUGAGUACGACGGAGCACGUGAAAUUCCGUCGGAAUCUGGGAGGACCAUCUCCUAAGGCUAAAUACUCUCUAGUGACCGAUAGUGAACCAGUACCGUGAGGGAAAGGUGAAAAGCACCCCGGAAGGGGAGUGAAAUAGAACCUGAAACCGUGUGCUUACAAGUAGUCAGAGCCCGUUAAUGGGUGAUGGCGUGCCUUUUGUAGAAUGAACCGGCGAGUUACGAUUUGAUGCAAGGUUAAGCAGUAAAUGUGGAGCCGUAGCGAAAGCGAGUCUGAAUAGGGCGUUUAGUAUUUGGUCGUAGACCCGAAACCAGGUGAUCUACCCUUGGUCAGGUUGAAGUUCAGGUAACACUGAAUGGAGGACCGAACCGACUUACGUUGAAAAGUGAGCGGAUGAACUGAGGGUAGCGGAGAAAUUCCAAUCGAACCUGGAGAUAGCUGGUUCUCUCCGAAAUAGCUUUAGGGCUAGCCUCAAGUGAUGAUUAUUGGAGGUAGAGCACUGUUUGGACGAGGGGCCCCUCUCGGGUUACCGAAUUCAGACAAACUCCGAAUGCCAAUUAAUUUAACUUGGGAGUCAGAACAUGGGUGAUAAGGUCCGUGUUCGAAAGGGAAACAGCCCAGACCACCAGCUAAGGUCCCAAAAUAUAUGUUAAGUGGAAAAGGAUGUGGCGUUGCCCAGACAACUAGGAUGUUGGCUUAGAAGCAGCCAUCAUUUAAAGAGUGCGUAAUAGCUCACUAGUCGAGUGACACUGCGCCGAAAAUGUACCGGGGCUAAACAUAUUACCGAAGCUGUGGAUUGUCCUUUGGACAAUGGUAGGAGAGCGUUCUAAGGGCGUUGAAGCAUGAUCGUAAGGACAUGUGGAGCGCUUAGAAGUGAGAAUGCCGGUGUGAGUAGCGAAAGACGGGUGAGAAUCCCGUCCACCGAUUGACUAAGGUUUCCAGAGGAAGGCUCGUCCGCUCUGGGUUAGUCGGGUCCUAAGCUGAGGCCGACAGGCGUAGGCGAUGGAUAACAGGUUGAUAUUCCUGUACCACCUA
This 1194-nucleotide ribosomal RNA is filed under the name Staphylococcus aureus. RNAcentral's name for it is "partial 23S ribosomal RNA". It matches the Rfam family "Bacterial large subunit ribosomal RNA", at positions 252 to 1450 of the family's 2925-position model. The record is from RNAcentral. Lineage: Bacteria; Bacillati; Bacillota; Bacilli; Caryophanales; Staphylococcaceae.